CAGCAGCCGCGGUAAAACGGAGGGUGCAAGCGUUAAUCGGAAUUACUGGGCGUAAAGCGCACGCAGGCGGUCUGUCAAGUCAGAUGUGAAAUCCCCGGGCUUAACCUGGGAACUGCAUUUGAAACUGGCAGGCUAGAGUCUUGUAGAGGGGGGUAGAAUUCCAGGUGUAGCGGUGAAAUGCGUAGAGAUCUGGAGGAAUACCGGUGGCGAAGGCGGCCCCCUGGACAAAGACUGACGCUCAGGUGCGAAAGCGUGGGGAGCAAACAGGAUUAGAUACCCGCGUAGUCCAUGUCUCUUAUAC
RNAcentral lists this ribosomal RNA (301 nucleotides) under uncultured bacterium. Its description in RNAcentral is "partial 16S ribosomal RNA". It matches the Rfam family "Bacterial small subunit ribosomal RNA", at positions 509 to 807 of the family's 1533-position model. The record is from RNAcentral.